AGGUCCCCAGUAGGGGGCAAGUGAGGGGCACCCCACUGAUGUGUGUCUCACACAUCGACGUCUCUCUCCUUUUCUUUCUCCCUCCCUUCCCCUCUUUCUAAAAAUAAAUAAAUAAAAUCUU
Molecule: long non-coding RNA, 121 nt
Organism: Phyllostomus discolor (pale spear-nosed bat)
Lineage: Eukaryota; Metazoa; Chordata; Mammalia; Chiroptera; Phyllostomidae
Exons: 4
Source: RefSeq, a predicted model, not a curated record